Molecule: ribosomal RNA, 567 nt
Filed under: uncultured archaeon
Lineage: Archaea
Description: bacterial SSU rRNA
Rfam family: Archaeal small subunit ribosomal RNA
Source: RNAcentral
CGGGGUGCACCAGGCGCGAAAACUUUACAAUGCGGGAAACCGUGAUAAGGGGACACCGAGUGCCAGCAUCAUAUGCUGGCUGUCCAGGUGUGUAAAAUACACCUGUCAGCAAGGGCCGGGCAAGACCGGUGCCAGCCGCCGCGGUAACACCGGCGGCCCGAGUGGUGAUCGUGAUUAUUGGGUCUAAAGGGUCCGUAGCCGGUUUGGUCAGUCCUCCGGGAAAUCUGACGGCUCAACCGUUAGGCUUUCGGGGGAUACUGCCAGGCUUGGAACCGGGAGAGGUAAGAGGUACUACAGGGGUAGGAGUGAAAUCUUGUAAUCCCUGUGAGACCACCUGUGGCGAAGGCGUCUCACCAGAACGGGCUCGACGGUGAGGGACGAAAGCUGGGGGCACGAACCGGAUUAGAUACCCGGGUAGUCCCAGCCGUAAACGAUGCUCGCUAGGUGUCAGGCAUGGCGCGACCGUGUCUGGUGCCGCAGGGAAGCCGUGAAGCGAGCCACCUGGGAAGUACGGCCGCAAGGCUGAAACUUAAAGGAAUUGGCGGGGGAGCACAAGGGCGAAUCGCG